RNAcentral lists this ribosomal RNA (253 nucleotides) under uncultured prokaryote. RNAcentral describes it as "partial 16S ribosomal RNA". It matches the Rfam family "Bacterial small subunit ribosomal RNA", at positions 525 to 777 of the family's 1533-position model. The record is from RNAcentral.
ACGUAGGGGGCAAGCGUUGUCCGGAUUUAUUGAGCGUAAAGGGCGCGCAGGCGGCGCUUCAAGUCCGUUGUGAAAUUUCAGGGCUUAACCCUGACGGGUCAACGGAAACUGAAGGGCUAGAGUGCAGCAGAGGAAAGCGGAAUUCCCGGUGUAGUGGUGAAAUGCGUAGAUAUCGGGAGGAACACCAGAGGCGAAAGCGGCUUUCUGGGCUGUAACUGACGCUGAGGCGCGAAGGCUAGGGGAGCAAACAGGA